This 69-nucleotide transfer RNA is filed under the name Montfortula punctata. RNAcentral's name for it is "tRNA-Leu". The record is from RNAcentral. Lineage: Eukaryota; Metazoa; Mollusca; Gastropoda; Lepetellida; Fissurellidae.
AUUGAGUUGGCAGAGGUUUUAUGCGAUUGAUUUAGGAUCAAUUGAGAGGAGGCAUACUCCUACUUAAUA